AACGAACGCUGGCGGCAUGCCUAACACAUGCAAGUCGAACGAGACCUUCGGGUCUAGUGGCGCACGGGUGCGUAACGCGUGGGAACCUGCCCUUAGGUUCGGAAUAACUCCCCGAAAGGGGUGCUAAUACCGGAUAAUGUCUUCGGACCAAGGAUUUAUCGCCUUUGGAUGGGCCCGCGUUGGAUUAGCUAGUUGGUAGGGUAAAAGCCUACCAAGGCGACGAUCCAUAGCUGGUCUGAGAGGAUGAUCAGCCACACUGGGACUGAGACACGGCCCAGACUCCUACGGGAGGCAGCAGUGGGGAAUAUUGGACAAUGGGCGAAAGCCUGAUCCAGCAAUGCCGCGUGAGUGAUGAAGGCCUUAGGGUUGUAAAGCUCUUUUAACCGGGAUGAUAAUGACAGUACCGGGAGAAUAAGCGCCGGCUAACUCCGUG
Molecule: ribosomal RNA, 433 nt
Filed under: uncultured bacterium
Lineage: Bacteria
Description: partial 16S ribosomal RNA
Rfam family: Bacterial small subunit ribosomal RNA
Source: RNAcentral